Molecule: ribosomal RNA, 484 nt
Filed under: uncultured bacterium
Lineage: Bacteria
Description: partial 16S ribosomal RNA
Rfam family: Bacterial small subunit ribosomal RNA
Source: RNAcentral
AUUGAACGCUGGCGGCAGGCCUAACACAUGCAAGUCGAGCGGAUGAAGGGAGCUUGCUCCUGGAUUCAGCGGCGGACGGGUGAGUAAUGCCUAGGAAUCUGCCUGGUAGUGGGGGAUAACGUCCGGAAACGGGCGCUAAUACCGCAUACGUCCUGAGGGAGAAAGUGGGGGAUCUUCGGACCUCGCGCUAUCAGAUGAGCCUAGGUCGGAUUAGCUAGUUGGUGGGGUAAAGGCCUACCAAGGCGACGAUCCGUAACUGGUCUGAGAGGAUGAUCAGUCACACUGGAACUGAGACACGGUCCAGGCUCCUACGGGAGGCAGCAGUGGGGAAUAUUGGACAAUGGGCGAAAGCCUGAUCCAGCCAUGCCGCGUGUGUGAAGAAGGUCUUCGGAUUGUAAAGCACUUUAAGUUGGGAGGAAGGGCAGUAAGUUAAUACCUUGCUGUUUUGACGUUACCAACAGAAUAAGCACCGGCUAACUUCGUG